RNAcentral lists this long non-coding RNA (2067 nucleotides) under Daucus carota (carrot). RNAcentral's name for it is "long non-coding RNA (DCAR_LNC006153)". The record is from RNAcentral. Lineage: Eukaryota; Viridiplantae; Streptophyta; Magnoliopsida; Apiales; Apiaceae.
AUGGUUAUUUUAAUAAAAUAAAGAUAAAUUUGUAUAUUUAUAAAAUAAAGUAUAUAUUAUUUUGAUAUUAUUUAUAAAAUUUUAUUACAUAAUAUAGGUAUAAAUUUUUUUAAAAAAUAAUAUUAUUUCUUAAAUAUUCUAAUUUGAUUAACCGUAAAUGUCCCUCGUAUUAUAUUAAAUGAAAUAACCUUAUUUUCUUUUCAAUCAAAUAUCAUACACUUUCCGUCCCAUUCGAUUGUAUACGUUUCAUUUUCACUGCUCAGCACACGUUUUAAGCCUCUUGUGAAAUAUAAUUCUAUAAUUUAUUUCUAAAAUUUCUUUUUUGUGUAUAAAAAUAUGAAUGUUAUAUUUUUAUACAAAAAAAAAGAAAAUUUUAAAAAUAAGUUACAGAACUAUACUUUAUUGAAGUAUUAAAAUCCGCGUGGCGCCCUCAUCCCCCAUUGUAUUCUAUUGGCCGGGACGAAGGGAGUAUAAGGAUCGACUAUUGUUUAGAGAUCGUGAAAUGCAACCCAUGCUCCUAGUUUCGGUCCCAAAAUUUGAAUUAUCUCAUUUUAGUUCCAAUUUGCACCGAUGCUGAUCUAAACUAAUUCGUUUUUAUAAUAUGAAAUAUUCAAAACUAAUAAGAGUACAAAAGAUGUACAUAUAAAAUUAUAUUAUUUUCAACAAUUAUGUAAUAUUUAUAUAUAAUUUUUUUUAUAGUAUAUAAGGUAAUGUCAGAUUAAGGUUAAUCGGAUCGGGUGGAAGCAUCCCCUAAUAUCAGUUAUUAUUAUUAUAUAUAACUUAUUUAAUUUGUAAGCAUAAAUUCGUUUAGAUCUGCAUGAUUAGUCUUUAUAGACACAUUUUAAAAAAUUGGUAUGCACUUAACUUAUUUAUGAAUCAAUAUAAAUUAUUAAACACAGUAGAGCAUGCAGUAAAAAUAUAAAUUUGUAAAACUUUACUUAUGUAAAUUAAAUAUUAUGAAUUUGAAAAGAUAAAUAUAUUUGAUAUUUGUAUCUAUUUUUAACCACUAAUAUAAGGAAAAUUUUGUUGUAUUAAACUGCAAAGUCCAUGUGAGAUUUCUAAAAACUGAUCAUUCUGGAUGCUAACUUGUUUUGAUUUUAUAUUAUUUCUCUCAUUAUAAUUAUAUAUUUAUAUUUAUAAAAUUGAUGUUUAUUAUAGAUGAGUGUUAAUUUAAUUUUUUAAAAUAGAAAAUAUUUAAUUUUAUAUCAUAUAAUACUCGAAAGGCCAUGCACGUCACGUAAUACAUGUUAACAUUUUAACCAUUGCAACAAAAGAAAACUGUUUGUUUGUCAUCAAAUAUAUAAAAAGCUCGUUUGUUUCGCAUAAUUUAAAAAAGAUCUAUUAAACUGAUCUAAUAUAAAUUCUUAAAUUCAAUAGAGUAUGCUGUAAAAGUAUAAAUUUAUAAAAAUUCACUUAUGUAAAUAAAAUUUUAAAAAAUAAAUAUAUAUUAGAUUUUUAUAUUUAUUUUCAGCCACCGAUAUAAUGUAAAUUUUGUCUUAAAAUUGUUGCUAUCGGAACUUUAGCCUCUUUGAUAUACUCUACCUUUUUAGUUGUUCUCUGUCUUGUCCAUAGACCAUAGCCACCGAAUUUGAAGCUGUGUAGGAAUAUAUUAAAUUGGUUUAUUACAUGGAGUUCCAUGACUCAGACUUGGUCUAGAACGGACUUUGGUGUGCAUUGUAGUUAAUCAUUAUUGUUUUAUUAAUAUCGUCUCAAUGGUAUAAUUUAAAUAUUAAUUAUGAUUGGAAUUUUAGGUAAUUAAUAUAUAGAAAGAAUAUUAUAAUUUGAUUAGUCUAAAUUUUAGAUUGAUCUUUUAUUAUUAAAAAUUAAAAUUUAACCACUAACCAUGGUUGAAGCUCAAGUUAAUUAACUAAAGGAGUGUUAUAAUUUGAUUGGUCUAAAUUUUAGGAUCAAUUUUUUAUUGACUCUAAAAUAAUUCUUGUUUUUUAUUGGUUACCACUAACCAUGGUUAAAGUUCAAGUUAAUUAAUUAUAGAAGGGUUAUAAUUUGAUUGGUCUAAAUUUUAGGAUCAAUUUCUUAUUGGCUCUAAAAUAAUUCUUCUUUUCUUAU